ACGGGAGGCAGCAGUGGGGAAUAUUGCACAAUGGAGGAAACUCUGAUGCAGCGACGCCGCGUGUGUGAUGAAGUAUUUCGGUAUGUAAAGCCCUAUCAGUAGGGAAGAUAAUGACGGUACCUAACUAAGAAGCACCGGCUAAAUACGUGCCAGCAGCCGCGGUAAUACGUAUGGUGCAAGCGUUAUCCGGAUUUACUGGGUGUAAAGGGAGUGUAGGUGGUUUGGCAAGCCAGAAGUGAAAACCCGGGGCUCAACCCCGUGGAUUGCUUUUGGAACUGUUAGACUAGAGUGCAGGAGGAGUAAGCGGAAUUCCCAGUGUAGCAGUGAAAUGCGUAGAUAUUGGGAAUAACACCAGUGGCGAAGGCGACUUACUGGACUGUAACUGACACUAAGGCUCGAAAGCGUGGGGAGCAAACAGGAUUAGAUACCCUAGUA
RNAcentral lists this ribosomal RNA (435 nucleotides) under uncultured Lachnospiraceae bacterium. RNAcentral describes it as "partial 16S ribosomal RNA". It matches the Rfam family "Bacterial small subunit ribosomal RNA", at positions 341 to 792 of the family's 1533-position model. Lineage: Bacteria; Bacillati; Bacillota; Clostridia; Lachnospirales; Lachnospiraceae. The record is from RNAcentral.